CCUACGGGGGGCAGCAGUGAGGAAUAUUGGUCAAUGGACGAGAGUCUGAACCAGCCAAGUAGCGUGAAGGAUGACUGCCCUAUGGGUUGUAAACUUCUUUUAUAUGGGAAUAAAACGUUCCACGUGUGGGAUUUUGUAUGUACCAUAUGAAUAAGGAUCGGCUAACUCCGUGCCAGCAGCCGCGGUAAUACGGAGGAUCCGAGCGUUAUCCGGAUUUAUUGGGUUUAAAGGGAGCGUAGGUGGAUUGUUAAGUCAGUUGUGAAAGUGUGCGGCUCAACCGUAAAAUUGCAGUUGAAACUGGCAGUCUUGAGUACAGUAGAGGUGGGCGGAAUUCGUGGUGUAGCGGUGAAAUGCUUAGAUAUCACGAAGAACUCCGAUUGCGAAGGCAGUUCACUGGACUGCAACUGACACUGAGGCUCGAAAGUGUGGGUAUCAAACAGGAUUAGAUACCCGUGUAGUC
This 460-nucleotide ribosomal RNA is filed under the name uncultured bacterium. Its description in RNAcentral is "partial 16S ribosomal RNA". It matches the Rfam family "Bacterial small subunit ribosomal RNA", at positions 338 to 795 of the family's 1533-position model. The record is from RNAcentral.